Molecule: ribosomal RNA, 382 nt
Filed under: uncultured eukaryote
Lineage: Eukaryota
Description: partial 18S ribosomal RNA
Rfam family: Eukaryotic small subunit ribosomal RNA
Source: RNAcentral
UGUAAGCGUAUACCAAAGUUGUUGCGGUUAAAACGCUCGUAGUCGGAAUUUGGCAGUUCCGGAUGUGUGCACGUCGUGUGCGCACUUCGCGGGGAUUGCUUUUGUGGUCUUGCGUAGGAUGAGGCACUUUUAUUAGUGAGCGUCCUCACGCAACCACUUUUUACUGUGAGAAAAUCAGAGUGCUCAAAGCAGGCAUUUGCCGUGAAUGUAUUAGCAUGGAAUAAUAGAAUAGGACUUGGUUCUAUUUUGUUGGUUUGUUGGGACUGAGUAAUGAUUAAGAGGGACAGUUGGGGGCAUUUGUAUUUCGGUGCUAGAGGUGAAAUUCUUAGAUUACCGAAAGACAAACUGCUGCGAAAGCGUCUGCCAAGGAUGUUUUCAUUGA